Molecule: transfer RNA, 73 nt
Filed under: Amylolactobacillus amylophilus DSM 20533 = JCM 1125
Lineage: Bacteria; Bacillati; Bacillota; Bacilli; Lactobacillales; Lactobacillaceae
Description: Lactobacillus amylophilus DSM 20533 = JCM 1125 tRNA
Rfam family: tRNA
About the family: Transfer RNA (tRNA) molecules are approximately 80 nucleotides in length. Their secondary structure includes four short double-helical elements and three loops (D, anti-codon, and T loops).
Source: Rfam by way of RNAcentral
GGGGGUUUAGCUCAGCUGGGAGAGCGCCUGCCUUGCACGCAGGAGGUCAUCGGUUCGAUCCCGUUAACCUCCA